This 107-nucleotide ribosomal RNA is filed under the name Clostridiales bacterium. Lineage: Bacteria; Bacillati; Bacillota; Clostridia; Eubacteriales. The record is from RNAcentral.
UUGGCUAAGGGGAUCCACCUGUUCUCAUACCGAACACAGAAGUUAAGCCCUUAUACGCCGAAAAUACCUGGCUGGACACGGCCCGGAAAGAUAGGUAGCCGCCGGCU